ACAUGCGGAAUGCUCUUUACUUGCGUGCGGAAAAAAAAACCUUGCUUAAUGUUCCGAACCAACAAUGUCUGUAAUAAAAGAUUGAGGUUUCGAACAGUUUUUAUGACUCAGACCUUCGGAUUUACUGAAUUUACAAAUUACCUAAGUCUUGAGUUCAAUUGGAACACAUGAAAGGGAUGAUUUUGGGUAUGAUGGAUGUCCUGCCCUUUUCGGAUCAGAAGCAGCUGAUGACUGAACAAGAUGUGCCCUUGCCACCAUCCUCCAGAAUUGAAGCAGUGGAAUACUUUCCUUCGAAAGGCAGUAGAUAACGUUGGCAUGUGUGAAAAUAUCGAGUUGGGUCUUGCAUGACUGAAGCUUUUGGAAUCCAUACUGGGUGGCAUAUAGGAGCUCAUUCUCAUUGAGAUACCUCAUUGUGUUUUAUUUCAGAAUCAAACCAAUCUUUGGGUGAAACCAACCUUUCGGUUAAUGACAGUUUUACUUUUCUAUAACAUGUAUGUCCCGUAAAAUUAUGAUAUUAGCUUUCUUGCUGCAAAACUGCUGUGUAUUUGCUUGCUUCAACGUCACAUAUAUACUACAUCAAUGGAUGUCCAAACCAAAUGAGCUUCAUGGCCCUUUAUGAUCCACACUUUGAUUUACAAGCAAUUGUUAUUAAGAUUUAGUACUGUUUGCAAGAUAUGUUUGGUAAUAUAUUUUUUUGAAAGAUGAGAAAAACCUUUAACAAAUUUUGGUGUCACAAUGACACGCUAAUAGUUCUAGUUACAGUACAUUCAGUGUGAUUGAUUUUCAUUUGAAGCAAAGCCAUAUUAGUGUUGUGUACAGCUUAUGUUUUUUUUAUCACUCUACCAGUCUACAGUCUGUGGACACACAGUUUCUUCUCCAAUCCCAUAGAAAUAUGGGGUUACUUAUUGAGGCAAGAUAUUGAAAAUUGUGAAACGGCAAUGUAGCAAACUGCGAUUUUCAAUGGGUAUCAUCCCUGUUUCCAGUUUUUUAAUUAUUAAACUUUUAGAGUGCUUGGCUAGUCCUUACCUUCAGCAGACAAAAUAGUAAGUACUUUUGAUAACCACAUAUAAAACAACAGAAAUUAUCCCCUCUUUUGGAACCAUGGGAACGGGAUCGGUAAUCGGGAUAUAGAAAACUUAAUUCCCAUAUAUGUCGUAGCUCGUAUAUAUUUACACUUGACACUGCGUCCAUACAGAAUGAAGUAUAUGAACUAUCGAUGCCGCAGAACUAUUAGUUCUCUCAGAAGUGGUUACCAUUUUAUCUCUUAAAGGCCAGCCAUUUAGUCUCCAUAUAAUCCUAUGGUU
Schistocerca piceifrons (Central American locust) is the source of this 1304-nucleotide long non-coding RNA. RefSeq lists it as uncharacterized. NCBI's taxonomy places the organism in Eukaryota, Metazoa, Arthropoda, Insecta, Orthoptera, Acrididae. The transcript is spliced from 3 exons. The record is from RefSeq and is a predicted model, not a curated record.